Molecule: ribosomal RNA, 319 nt
Filed under: uncultured eukaryote
Lineage: Eukaryota
Description: partial 18S ribosomal RNA
Rfam family: Eukaryotic small subunit ribosomal RNA
Source: RNAcentral
CCCUUAGAUGUUCUGGGCUGCACGCGCGCUACACUGACACACUCAGCGAGUUCCUGUACCGAGAGGUUCGGGUAAUCAUGUGAGCGCGUGUCGUGAUGGGGAUAGAAUAUUGUAAUUAUUGCUCUUCAACGAGGAAUUCCUAGUAAGCGCAAGUCAGCAGCUUGCGCUGAUUACGUCCCUGCCCUUUGUACACACCGCCCGUCGCUCCUACCGAUUGGGUGAUCCGGUGAAUGACUCGGACUUUGACGUUCCUAGACACUAGGUUCGUCGAGGGAAGUUUUGUGAACCUUAUCACUUGGAGGAAGGAGAAGUCGUAACA